RNAcentral lists this ribosomal RNA (253 nucleotides) under uncultured bacterium. Its description in RNAcentral is "partial 16S ribosomal RNA". It matches the Rfam family "Bacterial small subunit ribosomal RNA", at positions 524 to 776 of the family's 1533-position model. The record is from RNAcentral.
UACGAAGGGGGCUAGCGUUGCUCGGAAUCACUGGGCGUAAAGCGCACGUAGGCGGAUUGCUAAGUCAGGUGUGAAAUCCUGGAGCUCAACUCCAGAACUGCCUUUGAUACUGGCGAUCUUGAGUCCGGGAGAGGUGAGUGGAACUGCGAGUGUAGAGGUGAAAUUCGUAGAUAUUCGCAAGAACACCAGUGGCGAAGGCGGCUCACUGGCCCGGUACUGACGCUGAGGUGCGAAAGCGUGGGGAGCAAACAGG